AUACACUACUAACAAAGUAAACGUUGAUUUUCUCUUGAACAAAAAUUUUAUGUAUUAUUAAUAUGCCAGCAAAAUACUUCUGUUCACCUUUUGAAUACAUUCAAAAGGAGAGUGAGUACAAAAGAGAAUUUUCUCAUGCUCUGGGGGGGGCCUGGGUCAGCUCAGGAAGGAAGCCCUGCCUGUAAAGGCUGCAGCUUAGGCUGUCUCUCUUCACUUAGCCCAGCAUCUGAUCACAUCUUCUGUCACUCAGGGCCUGAGGGGCGGGACCUAAAGCAUUAUCCAAUCAGAGACGCUGGGCUGGAAACCGUCCAAUCAGGCACGCAGCUGGAGCGACGAGGACGGCUUUCCGCUUUUGGCGCGGCCUUUGUCUCUAGCUGCAGCCGGCGUUUCAGGUCUCGUCUUCACUGGUCUGUGUCCUAUUCUCCUGGAGGCCCAGCCUCUGUGGCCCUGUGACCUGCAGGUAUUGGGAGAUCCACAGCUAAAACCCCAGGACACCCUGGAAGCAUAGAAAUGGUUCUGUAGCAGAAAUUGCUGGUGUCUGUGGCAGGGGAGGGCACCUGAGGACAGGGAAGAAGAAACAUAUUUUUAUCUUUAUGGAGCAGCACAUUGUUCCCAAAUACCUUCUGCUUUAAGGGACAGAAAUGGAUGGACUUUUUCUGUCUUUUCUGCCAGUUGAUGUCAUGCUUGCAGGUCUUCUCCCAGGGUGACAGAGGACUGAAAACUUACAGGAAAGGAGCUCUGAUGACACAUCCCCUUUUCUUGCAGCUGCCACCACAGGAUUCCCACAUACUCCCAAACACACACACUAGACAUUGACAUGUCCACACUCCUCCCAGGACUAGGCACCACCCUCAGUGACUUCACCAUGACAUUUUUGGUCCAAGCACUUCUAGCCAAAAAGCCAAAAGUAUCUACAAGUUUCCUUGCAUAUUCCCAUCCCCGGAUAUCGAAUCUGCAGCAGCAACCUGUUUUCUCCACCAGCCUAGGGUUCUGGCCCUCCUUUUCAUAAUCUCAUCUGCCUGCAUGCACACAGAAAUAAAUCAGAGUACAGCCCCACCUGGUCAACUAUCUGUAGCAAAAAUCUGUCCAUUCACUGACAUUGCACUCUCUCUCACCUGGGGAUUUUUUUUCUUUUUUUUUUUAAUUUAUUUUUUUUAUUGAUCAUUCUUGGGUGUUUCUCGCAGAGGGG
This 1189-nucleotide long non-coding RNA is filed under the name Homo sapiens (human). RNAcentral's name for it is "HSALNT0396564". Lineage: Eukaryota; Metazoa; Chordata; Mammalia; Primates; Hominidae. The record is from RNAcentral.